UCUAAUUCCUCACACAAUAACCGUGACCUGGAAACUAUUUUUUCCCAGAUAUAAACAAUUGUUUUACAAGUAUAAAUGUUGCAUCUUGUAGGCGACAAAACAUUAGUGAUCGCACGAACGGCAUAUAAUUUUUCCCCGCUUUUUAUGCUUUGCAUGACCAUCUCGUCAAUGAUUCGGUACAGAAGUAAAAACAUCGAGGGAUAUAAUAUGCAUUGUAAUA
This 220-nucleotide long non-coding RNA is filed under the name Setaria italica (foxtail millet). Its description in RNAcentral is "long non-coding RNA (SITA_LNC001542)". Lineage: Eukaryota; Viridiplantae; Streptophyta; Magnoliopsida; Poales; Poaceae. The record is from RNAcentral.